GCUACUACCGAUUGAAUGGCUUAGUGAGGUCUUGGGAUUGGCUUCGGGAAGCCGGCAACGGCAUCCUGUCGCUGAGAACUUGAUCAAACUUGGUCAUUUAGAGGAAGUAAAAGUCGUAACAAGGUUUCCGUAGGUGAACCUGCGGAAGGAUCAUUAUCGAGUUUUGACUGGGUUGUAGCUGGCCUUCCGAGGCAUGUGCACGCCCUGCUCAUCCACUCUACACCUGUGCACUUACUGUGGGUUUUACGGGUCGUGAAAUGGGCUCGUUCAUUCGGGCUUGUUGAGCGCACUUGUUGCCUGCGUUUAUCACAAACUCCAUAAAGUAUUAGAAUGUGUAUUGCGAUGUAACGCAUCUAUAUACAACUUUCAGCAACGGAUCUCUUGGCUCUCGCAUCGAUGAAGAACGCAGCGAAAUGCGAUAAGUAAUGUGAAUUGCAGAAUUCAGUGAAUCAUCGAAUCUUUGAACGCACCUUGCGCUCCUUGGUAUUCCGAGGAGCAUGCCUGUUUGAGUGUCAUGAAAUCUUCAAUCUACAAGCUUCUUAUGGGAGUUUGUAGGCUUGGACUUGGAGGCUUGUCGGUCCUUUACAGGUCGGCUCCUCUCAAAUGCAUUAGCUUGGUUCCUUGCGGAUCGGCUUGUCGGUGUGAUAAUGUCUACGCCGCGACCGUGAAGCGUGUUUGGGCGAGCUUCUAACCGUCUCGUUACGGAGACAACUUUAUGACCUCUGACCUCAAAUCAGGUAGGACUACCCGCUGAACUGUAAGCAUAUCAAUA
This 772-nucleotide ribosomal RNA is filed under the name Ganoderma gibbosum. RNAcentral describes it as "eukaryotic LSU rRNA". The stretch from base 362 to 515 matches the Rfam family "5.8S ribosomal RNA". The record is from RNAcentral. Lineage: Eukaryota; Fungi; Basidiomycota; Agaricomycetes; Polyporales; Polyporaceae.